UGCCAGCCGCCGCGGUAAGACGGAGGGUGCAAACGUUGUUCGGAAUCACUGGGCAUAAAGCGCACGUAGGCGGUCCGCUAAGUCAGAUGUGAAAUCCCUCGGCUCAACCGAGGAACUGCACCUGAUACUGGCGGACUCGAGGACGGUAGGGGUGAGUGGAACUCCAGGUGGAGCGGUGAAAUGCGUAGAUAUCUGGAGGAACACCGGUGGCGAGGGCGACUCACUGGACCGUAUCUGACGCUGAGGUGCGAAAGCUAGGGUAGCAAACAGGAUUAGAUA
Molecule: ribosomal RNA, 279 nt
Filed under: uncultured bacterium
Lineage: Bacteria
Description: partial 16S ribosomal RNA
Rfam family: Bacterial small subunit ribosomal RNA
Source: RNAcentral